UUGGAUGUAGUCAAGUUUGGUAAGGCAUCGAAAUUUGAAUUCGAUAAUCGGGGGUUCAAAUCCCUCCAUCCAAU
This 74-nucleotide transfer RNA is filed under the name Coemansia erecta. RNAcentral's name for it is "tRNA-Gln". It matches the Rfam family "tRNA". Rfam says of the family: Transfer RNA (tRNA) molecules are approximately 80 nucleotides in length. Their secondary structure includes four short double-helical elements and three loops (D, anti-codon, and T loops). The record is from RNAcentral. Lineage: Eukaryota; Fungi; Kickxellomycota; Kickxellomycetes; Kickxellales; Kickxellaceae. RNAcentral also lists the same sequence under 3 other names.